ACUGUGAAGUGUUAUAUCAAAUGAGAGUAGCAAGUUGCAAAAUCAGACACGUUGAAGCAGUAA
This 63-nucleotide non-coding RNA is filed under the name unclassified sequences. RNAcentral's name for it is "RAGATH-18 RNA". It matches the Rfam family "RAGATH-18 RNA". From Rfam's summary of the family: Actinobacteria, Firmicutes, Fusobacteria, Thermotogae (1 example). Nearby to self-cleaving ribozyme genes The record is from Rfam by way of RNAcentral.